This 455-nucleotide ribosomal RNA is filed under the name uncultured bacterium. Its description in RNAcentral is "bacterial SSU rRNA". It matches the Rfam family "Bacterial small subunit ribosomal RNA", at positions 30 to 504 of the family's 1533-position model. The record is from RNAcentral.
UGAACGCUGGCGGCGUGCUUAACACAUGCAAGUCGAACGAGAACGGUCCUUCGGGAUGUCAGCUAAGUGGCGGACGGGUGAGUAAUGUAUAGUUAAUCUGCCCUUUAGAGGGGGAUAACAGUUGGAAACGACUGCUAAUACCCCAUACUCCUUUUAUAUUAAUUGUAAUUGGGAAACGUUUUUUCGCUAAAGGAUGAGACUAUAUGGUAUCAGGUAGUUGGUGGGGUAAGAGCCCACCAAGCCAAUGACGCCUAGCUGGUCUGAGAGGAUGAUCAGCCACACUGGAACUGAGACACGGUCCAGACUCCUACGGGAGGCAGCAGUGGGGAAUAUUGCACAAUGGAGGAAACUCUGAUGCAGCAACGCCGCGUGGAGGAUGACGCAUUUCGGUGUGUAAACUCCUUUUAUAUGGGAAGAUAAUGACGGUACCAUAUGAAUAAGCACCGGCUAACUCC